AACGCACAUUGCGCCCCUUGGUAUUCCAUGGGGCAUGCCUGUUCGAGCGUCAUUUGUACACUCAAGCUUGCUUGGUGUUGGGUGCUUGUCCUGCAGAGGACUCGCCUUAAAUCGAUUGGCCGCCGGCAACCUGGUGCAGAGCGCAGUACACUUGCAGUCUGUAGCGGGGAGCGGGUGCCCACAAGACACUUCAACGCUUGACCUCGGAUCAGGUAGGGAUACCCGCUGAACUUAA
This 235-nucleotide unclassified non-coding RNA is filed under the name uncultured Pleosporales. Its description in RNAcentral is "sequence contains 5.8S rRNA gene, ITS2, 28S rRNA gene". The record is from RNAcentral. Lineage: Eukaryota; Fungi; Ascomycota; Dothideomycetes; Pleosporales.